Molecule: non-coding RNA, 46 nt
Organism: Balearica pavonina (black crowned-crane)
Lineage: Eukaryota; Metazoa; Chordata; Aves; Gruiformes; Gruidae
Source: Rfam
AAAGUGGCAUUUCUAAAUGCCACACAUCUUUUCAGCAAUGGAAAAU